This 433-nucleotide ribosomal RNA is filed under the name uncultured bacterium. RNAcentral describes it as "partial 16S ribosomal RNA". It matches the Rfam family "Bacterial small subunit ribosomal RNA", at positions 29 to 507 of the family's 1533-position model. The record is from RNAcentral.
AACGAACGCUGGCGGCAUGCCUAACACAUGCAAGUCGAACGAGACCUUCGGGUCUAGUGGCGCACGGGUGCGUAACGCGUGGGAACCUGCCCUUAGGUUCGGAAUAACUCCCCGAAAGGGGUGCUAAUACCGGAUAAUGUCAUCGGACCAAAGAUUUAUCGCCUUUGGAUGGGGCCGCGUUGGAUUAGCUAGUUGGUAGGGUAAAAGCCUACCAAGGCGACGAUCCAUAGCUGGUCUGAGAGGAUGAUCAGCCACACUGGGACUGAGACACGGCCCAGACUCCUACGGGAGGCAGCAGUGGGGAAUAUUGGACGAUGGGCGAAAGCCUGAUACAGCAAUGCCGCGUGAGUGAUGAAGGCCUUAGGGUUGUAAAGCUCUUUUACCCGGGAUGAUAAUGACAGUACCGGGAGAAUAAGCACCGGCUAACUCCGUG